This 253-nucleotide ribosomal RNA is filed under the name uncultured bacterium. RNAcentral describes it as "partial 16S ribosomal RNA". It matches the Rfam family "Bacterial small subunit ribosomal RNA", at positions 524 to 776 of the family's 1533-position model. The record is from RNAcentral.
UACGUAGGUGGCAAGCGUUGUCCGGAGUUAUUGGGCGUAAAGCGCGCGCAGGCGGUGCGGUAAGUCUCUGGUGAAAGCGCUCGGCUUAACUGGGCGAGGGCCGGGGAGACUGCCACGCUGGAGGGGAGCAGAGGCGAGUGGAAUUCCGGGUGUAGUGGUGAAAUGCGUAGAGAUCCGGAGGAACACCAGUGGCGAAGGCGGCCUCCUGGGCCAGCACUGACGCUCAUGCACGAAAGCGUGGGGAGCAAACAGG